Molecule: long non-coding RNA, 1241 nt
Organism: Alexandromys fortis (reed vole)
Lineage: Eukaryota; Metazoa; Chordata; Mammalia; Rodentia; Cricetidae
Exons: 4
Source: RefSeq, a predicted model, not a curated record
GCAACAAGCAUGCAGGCAAGGCUCCUCCGCCUUGGGGAAAAGAUAUCCCAACGGCAGCACCCGCCACUAAAAUCGGCUCAAAGUGAUCUGUGUUCAGGAUGGCCCUCAAGGAUGCUGUGCCUCUGUCUUGGCAUGAUGACAAGCCAGGGCUGUCACAGCCGCUGGCACAGAUCAGGCACAAAGGCACAAAAGUGACUAACUUCAGGAACCAGCGGCUGGAAAGCAAACCCAGUUUCAGGUCAGAAAAACACACUGGCUUUCAAAUGCUUUGUUUUGUUUUUGUUUUUUGUUUUUGUUUUUGUUUCAGCUCUCCAUAGCUGAACUCCUGGCACAAGAAGAGAACAGAAAACGCACCCAUGCCUUACCGUGAAGACAGGGCCAUGCGCAGGAGUUAGGGAAUCACUAUUAAGACCAACAGGACAUAAACAAUUGUGUGGUUUGUGACUCCUAGUUGCCCAACACAGGCAACAUAAUGACGUCAGUGUGUCUACACCUACAACAGAGUGACGUCAGUAUGUCCACAUCGACUCUGAGGAUUCAUCUGGGUUUGAAGUUGAUUUAACGGGGUCUGAAGUUGAUUUAACAGGAGACAGAACCAGUUUGGCUUCCUGAUGUUUCUGAGGGCCCAUUCCCGACCUGUUCUGCUUUGUCAGUGGGAUGGCUGAGCCUUCCAGGCAGCACCACCAGGCCACCGAAGGCACUAGAAGGAGGCUGCAUUCUCCAUAGUGAGAGGCUCUGCUAACAGAUCAAAGGCAGACAACUCAACUGAAAAACUGGGCAACGGAUAUAAAUGAGCAAUUCAGAGAAGAAUGGAAGUAGCGAACAGACAGGAGAAGAGACACGUGACUUUAGUUGCAGUUACAAAGAAAGCCAAUGAAAGUAAUCGUGUACGGGUAUGGCUGGACCAGACAGAGGCCCAUCACCAUCUUCAGAGGCACGAGGACACCGGGAAGAUGCAGGAUUCGAUGGAACGAUAGGACCUGUGGGAUAGGAGGCAUGCAUGGCACUGCCAGAAGACGCGGGGCUCUCAGCUCAGUGUGGAGCUGACCUGACCCAGAAGCAUAGGACAGUGUCCCAGGAGGGUGCCCUCAUGCAUAUGCACACACAGGGGUGAGUGAAUCUGAAAAGCAAGAGAUUAAAAUAAAAAGGCAGUGGGAGAGAUGUUCAAUAAAAUAAGGGCUAGGCCCUGACCUUGCUUGGCUCUGUACGAAAAGACUCAACUCACAAUCUCUACAAGGACU